CAGAAUUCUGACUUUAUUCUCA
Molecule: microRNA, 22 nt
Filed under: Gadus morhua (Atlantic cod)
Lineage: Eukaryota; Metazoa; Chordata; Actinopteri; Gadiformes; Gadidae
Description: Gmo-Novel-9_3p (mature (guide))
Source: RNAcentral